CUCUUAUCCAGAGUGGCGGAGGGACAGGCCCUAUGAUGCCCGGCAACCAGCGAAAGCAUGGUGCUAAUUCCUGCAGGUAAUAACCUGAGAGAUGAGAG
This 98-nucleotide non-coding RNA is filed under the name Clostridiales bacterium. Its description in RNAcentral is "SAM-I sequence". It matches the Rfam family "SAM riboswitch aptamer (S box leader)". Rfam says of the family: The SAM riboswitch is found upstream of a number of genes which code for proteins involved in methionine or cysteine biosynthesis in Gram-positive bacteria. The SAM riboswitch acts at the level of transcription termination control. The predicted structure consists of a complex stem-loop region followed by a single stem loop terminator region. The record is from RNAcentral. Lineage: Bacteria; Bacillati; Bacillota; Clostridia; Eubacteriales.